RNAcentral lists this ribosomal RNA (465 nucleotides) under Vreelandella stevensii. RNAcentral describes it as "partial 16S ribosomal RNA". It matches the Rfam family "Bacterial small subunit ribosomal RNA", at positions 338 to 795 of the family's 1533-position model. The record is from RNAcentral. Lineage: Bacteria; Pseudomonadati; Pseudomonadota; Gammaproteobacteria; Oceanospirillales; Halomonadaceae.
CCUACGGGAGGCUGCAGUGAGGAAUAUUGGACAAUGGGGGGAACCCUGAUCCAGCCAUGCCGCGUGUGUGAAGAAGGCCCUCGGGUUGUAAAGCACUUUCAGUGAGGAAGAACGCCUGGUGGUUAAUACCCAUCAGGAAAGACAUCACUCACAGAAGAAGCACCGGCUAACUCCGUGCCAGCAGCCGCGGUAAUACGGAGGGUGCGAGCGUUAAUCGGAAUUACUGGGCGUAAAGCGCGCGUAGGUGGCUUGAUAAGCCGGUUGUGAAAGCCCCGGGCUCAACCUGGGAACGGCAUCCGGAACUGUCAAGCUAGAGUGCAGGAGAGGAAGGUAGAAUUCCCGGUGUAGCGGUGAAAUGCGUAGAGAUCGGGAGGAAUACCAGUGGCGAAGGCGGCCUUCUGGACUGACACUGACACUGAGGUGCGAAAGCGUGGGUAGCAAACAGGAUUAGAUACCCCAGUAGUC